This 253-nucleotide ribosomal RNA is filed under the name uncultured bacterium. RNAcentral's name for it is "partial 16S ribosomal RNA". It matches the Rfam family "Bacterial small subunit ribosomal RNA", at positions 524 to 776 of the family's 1533-position model. The record is from RNAcentral.
UACGUAGGGUGCAAGCGUUGUCCGGAAUUAUUGGGCGUAAAGAGCUCGUAGGCGGUUUGUCGCGUCUGCUGUGAAAACUCGGGGCUUAACUCCGGGCCUGCAGUGGGUACGGGCAGACUAGAGUGCGGUAGGGGAGGCUGGAAUUCCUGGUGUAGCGGUGAAAUACGUAGAGAUUGGGAAGAACACCAGUGGCGAAGGCGGCUAUCUGGACGGUUUCUGACGCUAAGACGCGAAAGCGUGGGGAGCAAACAGG